ACGGGAGGCAGCAGUGAGGAAUAUUGGUCAAUGGGCGGAAGCCUGAACCAGCCAAGUCGCGUGAAGGAAGAAGGUAUUAUGUAUUGUAAACUUCUUUAGACGUAGAGAAAUAAGGGGAUCGUGAUCCCUGAUGCUAGUAUACGUAGAAUAAGGAUCGGCUAACUCCGUGCCAGCAGCCGCGGUAAUACGGAGGAUCCGAGCGUUAUCCGGAUUUAUUGGGUUUAAAGGGUGCGCAGGCGGUCUUUUAAGUCAGUGGUUAAAUCGUGGAGCUUAACUCCAUCCCGCCAUUGAUACUGGAGGACUUGAUUGCGGUUGAGGUUGGCGGAAUUCGCCGUGUAGCGGUGAAAUGCAUAGAUAUGGCGAAGAACUCCGAUUGCGUAGGCAGCUGACCAAGCCGCGAAUGACGCUCAUGCACGAAAGUGCGGGGAUCGAACAGGAUUAGAUACCCUGGUA
RNAcentral lists this ribosomal RNA (453 nucleotides) under uncultured Parabacteroides sp. RNAcentral describes it as "partial 16S ribosomal RNA". It matches the Rfam family "Bacterial small subunit ribosomal RNA", at positions 341 to 792 of the family's 1533-position model. The record is from RNAcentral. Lineage: Bacteria; Pseudomonadati; Bacteroidota; Bacteroidia; Bacteroidales; Tannerellaceae.